Molecule: ribosomal RNA, 919 nt
Filed under: uncultured bacterium
Lineage: Bacteria
Description: bacterial SSU rRNA
Rfam family: Bacterial small subunit ribosomal RNA
Source: RNAcentral
GGCAUGCGCUGCUAUAAUGCAGUCGACGCACUCUCGUUUAGAUUGAAGGAGCUUGCUCCUGAUUGAUAAACAUUUGAGUGAGUGGCGGACGGGUGAGUAACACGUGGGUAACCUGCCCUAAAGUGGGGGAUAACAUUUGGAAACAGGUGCUAAUACCGCAUAAAACCUAACACCGCAUGGUGUAGGGUUGAAAGAUGGUUUCGGCUAUCACUUUAGGAUGGACCCGCGGUGCAUUAGUUAGUUGGUGAGGUAAAGGCUCACCAAGACCGUGAUGCAUAGCCGACCUGAGAGGGUAAUCGGCCACACUGGGACUGAGACACGGCCCAGACUCCUACGGGAGGCAGCAGUAGGGAAUCUUCCACAAUGGACGAAAGUCUGAUGGAGCAACGCCGCGUGAGUGAAGAAGGUUUUCGGAUCGUAAAACUCUGUUGUUGGAGAAGAAUGUAUCUGAUAGUAACUGAUCAGGUAGUGACGGUAUCCAACCAGAAAGCCACGGCUAACUACGUGCCAGCAGCCGCGGUAAUACGUAGGUGGCAAGCGUUGUCCGGAUUUAUUGGGCGUAAAGCGAGCGCAGGCGGUUUCUUAAGUCUGAUGUGAAAGCCUUCGGCUCAACCGAAGAAGUGCAUCGGAAACUGGGAAACUUGAGUGCAGAAGAGGACAGUGGAACUCCAUGUGUAGCGGUGAAAUGCGUAGAUAUAUGGAAGAACACCAGUGGCGAAUGCGGCUGUCUGGUCUGUAACUGACGCUGAGGCUCGAAAGCAUGGGUAGCAAACAGGAUUAGAUACCCUGGUAGUCCAUGCCGUAAACGAUGAGUGCUAGGUGUUGGGAGGGUUUCCGCUCUUCAGUGCCGCAGCUAACGCAUUAAGCACUCCGCCCUGGGGAGUACGACCGCAAGGUUGAAACUCAAAGGAAUUGACGG